UACGUAGGGGGCAAGCGUUGUCCGGAAUCAUUGGGCGUAAAGAGCGUGUAGGCGGCCUGGUAAGUCCGCUGUGAAAGUCCAGGGCUCAACCCUGGAAUGCCGGUGGAAACUGUCAGGCUCGAGUCCGGAAGAGGCGAGUGGAAUUCCUGGUGUAGCGGUGAAAUGCGUAGAGAUCCGGAGGAAGACCGGUGGCGAAGGCGGUCUGCUGGGCAGUUUCUGACACUGAUGCGCGACAGCGUGGGGAGCAAACAGG
Molecule: ribosomal RNA, 253 nt
Filed under: uncultured prokaryote
Description: partial 16S ribosomal RNA
Rfam family: Bacterial small subunit ribosomal RNA
Source: RNAcentral